GGGCUUGUAGCUCAGCUAGGUAGAGCAAUCGGCUCUUAACCGAUUGGUCAGGGGUUCGAAUCCCCUCAGGCCCG
Molecule: transfer RNA, 74 nt
Filed under: Thermoplasmata archaeon
Lineage: Archaea; Methanobacteriati; Thermoplasmatota; Thermoplasmata
Description: tRNA-Lys
Rfam family: tRNA
About the family: Transfer RNA (tRNA) molecules are approximately 80 nucleotides in length. Their secondary structure includes four short double-helical elements and three loops (D, anti-codon, and T loops).
Source: RNAcentral